AGGAGCCAAUCCGGGCUUAGUCCUCCCAGUCCUUGUUCUGGUUGGUCAAUGCAGCCUGUCACGUGUUGUUUCUUCCUGUACCACUUGCUGGUACCGACUUCCGCCCUUCCUUUCAAACGGUUCUGGAGGCAAGUCGGGUGGAUCGUCCUCUUGUCCUGGGAUCUCAGCUUCUCAUCGCCUUCUAAUCCAUUUCCAGACCUUGAAAUUUCUUUUUCGCGUUUAGAUUUGGCUUCCCCCCUCCCAAAGGGGAGGCACUGGGAUCAAUUCUGGAUCAGUCUUCUGCCACCUUCUUCUGAAUCGUCAGGAAUCUGCUCCUCAAAAUACGCCGGUAUGCUUAGGAACAUUGCUGGGAAGGAGUUUGAAUUAACCAAGACUGAUGUGGUGUAUCAAGGAUAAUAAUCUUCAUUGUGGCAACCCCUAACCACUCUCCCUCCUUUACCUGAGCUUACGGAGGCACUCUAAAAAUUGACAGACUGCCGGCACUUUUGCUCUUUCCCAAAACUUGAAGUAUUUCCUUUCCUAGAUGAUUGCUCCAGUGGCCAAGCUGGCCACCAGAUGUCAGGACUACUUGUAAUGAACUGAGCCCAGCUCCUUUCACACCUAAAAAAAUCUCUAAUUUCACUUCUAAGCUACUCUGGAAAGAGUUAAAGAGAGAAGGAUCCAAGGAGAAAAACGAUUGAAUGUACCUAGUAAUGGGCAGCACAGUAAGCUACGAUGAGGUGCUGUGGCCUAGUGUGCUCAGAAGUUGUUAGAUUUGUGAGCACACUAAGCUACUCUAGAAGUAAUGCUAUGCUCUCCCAGUUGCUCCCACUUAUCACUGUCAAACUCAUUUAUUCAAGACCGGGGGAGAGGUUCCCUUGUGAUACACAAACAUACAGACAGCCCCAUCCCAAAUAUGUUGCUUAUACAUGUUGCCACAUUUCCAAAGACCAGUUGCAAUGGGACCGUUGGUCCUACAUCUCUUCCCCAGUGUUGAUCUGAAGCUACCUGUUUGUGUGCAUGUGUAAGUGUCCGUUGUAUUGUGUGGAGUUACAGUUGUCGAAUAGUUGAGUUGAAAGGGACCCUGAGGGUCAUUGAGUCCAAAUCAUCUGCCAACGUCUGGAAUCCAGAAGUAAAGCACUGCUGAUGGAUGGUCCUCCAGCUUCGGUCUGAACAUCUCUGGUGAGGUAUUCUGAUCCACCUCGUAUAUUCCUCUUGGGGUUUGGCUUCCACACCAUUGAUCAUGCUGGUUCCCCUCCUAGGGAUAUGUCCAAAUGUCUCCAUCUGUUUUGAAAUCUCUGACAUCCCAAAGUGGACACUGGACAUCAGGCAGUAUCUGACUGAAGCAGAAAUUGUAUGAUACUUCUAUGGAUGUAGGCUACGAUUGAAGUUCCUGUUCCAUCCCAUAACUGACUCCUUGUUUAUCUUAUAUGGACUGCUAAGCCCCCCCUCUCGCCAACCCUUUUCACACAUAUUGCUAUGAAGCCAGUUGUCAUCCACCUUAUAAUUAUACAUCUGUUUUUUUUCUGCCUAAAUGCUGAACUCUGCAUUUUCCUAUGCUAAAACCUUUUUUGUAUGUUGUCCUGCAAAUAUUGCACCUUUUAUGGCAGUUUUAAAUCCUAAGUUCACUCUUCUUCAUGCUUUGCUAUCCUUUGCAGUUUGACAUCAUCUGUGAAUUUGAUGUUGUUAUUUCUCAAAGAGUGGGGGGCUCAUCGGGUGGGAUAAAAAAUAAAUUGGGGGAAAAAAAGAAGUAAGAAGUUGGGAAUCCUUAAGGACUUAAAAUGGUAAGGACUUUUAAUGGUUCAGUUUAGCGUGUUCUAACAUAAACUAAGCAAGUUAUGCCAUAGUGUUUCUUCCAUAUUGAUCCUGAGGUGUGGCCAUUUGAGAGGUUAGAUUGUUAGUUCCUGCAGAAUAGUGGAUAUCCAAAGGGAGGAUAUGGCUGCUGCCGCCCGUUUCAUUGCAUUUGUGCUUAGCCCUGGCCACACUCUGCAAACCUACACACCUCCCUUCUGCUACUCCUGUGUCAGUGGUGGUGGGCACAAAUGACUGGCCACCCUGCUGGCCACAGACGUGGCACUGCUCAAAACCAGAAAUCCUGCCCCACGGGGUCUGCAUGCCAGUCCCAGGCUUCUCCUCUGCCUCCAGCCCACCCACCAGGUCAUGGUGGUGUCACCACAUACUCCUACAUGAUUUUUCUACUCAUUGUCUCUUGAAUGAUCAGCUGUAACAAUCUGAUUUUCUAAUUUUUCCAUAUUUUCUGAAUUCUUGGACCUUAUUCCUUCAUUUUAAGACUGCUUAAUAGGACACUGUUUAAAUUUUUAAAAGCUUUAUUUUUAUUUUAACCACACAAACACACACACAUUAUUUUCCCCUUAUACAACACUUUUUUGUACCAAGCAGAGGGGCCGCUGAUCUUGUCCAUUUCUCAUAAGAGCUUUUGCUGCCGUCCUAGAUGCACUUCCCUGCAUGCCAGUCCCGGGCUUCUCGUCUGCCUCCAGCCCACCCACCAGGUCAUGGUGCCAUCACCACAUGCUCCUACAUGCCUUUUCCAUUCACUGUCAUCUUGAAUGACCGGCUGUAACAAUCUGAUAGUCUACCUUUUCCGCAUUUUCUGAAUUUUUAGACCUUAAUCAUUCAUUUAAAGACUGUUUAAUAGGAGACUGCUUACAUUUUAAAAAGUUUUAUUUUUUAUUUUAUCCACACAAACACACACACUUUAUUUUC
This is a non-coding RNA of Pogona vitticeps (central bearded dragon), 2703 nucleotides long. Lineage: Eukaryota; Metazoa; Chordata; Lepidosauria; Squamata; Agamidae. The record is from RefSeq and is a predicted model, not a curated record.